GAUGAACGCUAGCGGGAGGCCUAACACAUGCAAGCCGAGCGGUAUUUCUUCUUCGGGAGAGAGAGAGCGGCGUACGGGUGCGGAACACGUGUGCAACCUGCCUUUAUCUAGAGGAUAGCCUUUCGAAAGGAAGAUUAAUACUCUAUAAUAUAUUAAUUGGCAUCAAUUGAUAUUGAAAACUCCGGUGGAUAGAGAUGGGCACGCGCAAGAUUAGCUAGUUGGUGAGGUAACGGCUCACCAAGGCAAUGAUCUUUAGGGGGCCUGAGAGGGUGAUCCCCCACACUGGUACUGAGACACGGACCAGACUCCUACGGGAGGCAGCAGUGAGGAAUAUUGGUCAAUGGGUGCAAGCCUGAACCAGCCAUCCCGCGGGAAGGAUUAAGGUCCUAUGGAUUGUAAACUUCUUUUGUAUAGGGAUAAACCUACCCUCGUGAGGGUAGCUGAAGGUACUAUACGAAUAAGCACCGGCUAACUCCGUGCCAGCCGCCGCGGUAG
This 495-nucleotide ribosomal RNA is filed under the name uncultured bacterium. Its description in RNAcentral is "partial 16S ribosomal RNA". It matches the Rfam family "Bacterial small subunit ribosomal RNA", at positions 28 to 523 of the family's 1533-position model. The record is from RNAcentral.